CCAAACUGAAAUUGGAGCCUGAACCACCCAACACCCAAAAUCCCCUCCCAUCGCCGCAUCCUCUCUCCUCCCGUUCCCCAUUCCUCCUGCUCCAUCUACGGCAGAUCCCGGCCAACUCCGGCCAGCCCCCCUGCCUUGCUGGCCACCAUCCCGACACUCCCUCAUCCUCCUCUCUCGAAUCCUCCGCGAGGAACAGCCAGGCCGCAUCACCACCUCAAACCCUAGCCUCCGGCUCUACAGAGCUCAAGUUUCGACCUUUGGGUCCAUGGCGGCGACACGGCCGCAGGACGGGGUGAGGCGGUUCGGUGGCGAUCUUAACGCGCAGACCGCAAUGGAUUUCUCAGCUCCAUGCGCGUGGCGCACCUGAAUCCUCUUUUUUGCCACCCCGCUCAAACCCUAGACCCGCCGCGGCCAAAUCCUAUCACCGCCCCAACUCCGGCAACCGAGAUCAUGUUGGCCACCGUGGAAGGCCAAGGACUACUACGAAGAGGGCCACGCGCCAGGAGGACAGCGGCAACGCCCCGACAAACAUGCUGCUGCUACCCCCCGUGAGCGAGGUUCAAAUCAUAUUUGGGCACCAAGCUGCUGCUUAUGGAACCAUACCAGGAGGUGGCGGCCAGCCAGGUGAGGAGGAGGCUGACUUCAUCGGUGACAUCUGCAAGUGCCGCGGGGAGGUGCUACAGUCGCUGAUGAUCGACGGCAUCUAUUGACUUGGUCUCCGGAAAGAGAAACUCACCGACGAGGAGGUGCGCCGUUGUCGUGACAAGGAUGCUGAACUGCUGCUUGUUGCCUACACCAUCCGCGUUGAAGGCCUCCUGAAGCUCUUGCCUGUGCUCACUGAUCCGACCUGGCACAACUCCGAUGGGCUGCUGUUGCCAAUGACUUGCAGCUGGUUCAAAUCAUAUCAGAGGAUGAGAAGGACAGACUCAAUGGCGUUGCAAGAGGAAGUCUCUACGGUGGCCGCCAAUCAGCUAUGAGGUCUUCAUCAAUAGCAUCUCACCUACCAGGAGGUUACCGCCGCCACCAACCGUCCAUUCUUUGUGUAGGUUCAGUGCACGCUGCCAUGCUUGUUUGGGUUUAACUGAAUCUGUUGCAUGCCCUCAUGGUUAUGAAUGAAUGAAUAAAACUGAAUAGCCGCUUGAUGCAAUCCUCUCUUUCUUGGACAACUCGCUUUUGGGCUCUGAAUUUUGUCAGCACUGUCGGUUACAACUCUUAUAUGAAAUGGCUAGAACAACAUAUGAUCGUCAAUGAGUUUCCACUAUAAUUUCUCCAACUGUAAUUUGCCAGAUUAGUAAAGUUGCAUAUCUAUGAUAUCUUUUAAGUUUGUUUCUUCUUGCACUCGAUAAUCAUGUUUAGAAUUUAAUUGCCACCAUUGUUGAGGUCUCUCUUCACCACCUCCUCCAUG
This is a non-coding RNA of Lolium perenne, 1405 nucleotides long. Lineage: Eukaryota; Viridiplantae; Streptophyta; Magnoliopsida; Poales; Poaceae. The record is from RefSeq and is a predicted model, not a curated record.